This 366-nucleotide ribosomal RNA is filed under the name uncultured rumen bacterium. Its description in RNAcentral is "bacterial SSU rRNA". It matches the Rfam family "Bacterial small subunit ribosomal RNA", at positions 74 to 432 of the family's 1533-position model. The record is from RNAcentral.
CUUGCUUUUGUUGAUGGCGACCGGCGCACGGGUGAGUAACGCGUAUCCAACCUUCCCCUUUACUUCACGGCAUAACCCGGCGAAAGUCGGAUUAAUACCCUAUGUUUUCCGUCGAGGGCAUCUGAAGUGGAAUAAAGAUUUAUCGCUAAGGGAUGGGGAUGCGUCUGAUUAGGUUGUUGGCGGGGUAACGGCCCACCGAGCCUUCGAUCGGUAGGUGUGUUUCUGAGAGGAAGGUCCCCCACACUGGUACUGAGACACGGACCAGACUCCUACGGGAGGCAGCAGUGAGGAAUAUUGGUCAAUGUUGCGAAAGAAAAAAACCAGCCAAGUAGCGUGCAGGAUGACGGCCCUAUGGGUUGUAAACUG